ACGAACGCUGGCGGCGUGCUUAACACAUGCAAGUCGAACGGAAAGGCCUGCUUUCCCUUGUGGAUUGCGGGUACUCGAGUGGCGAACGGGUGAGUAACACGUGAGUGAUCUGCCCCCAACUUGGGUAUAAGCCUGGGAAACUGGGUCUAAUUCCCGAUAGGACUGCAGGGUGGUGCCUGUGGUGGAAAACGAUUUUCUAGUGGUUGGGGAUGAGCUCGCGGCCUAUCAGCUUGUUGGUGGGGUAAUGGCCUACCAAGGCGGCGACGGGUAGCCGGCCUGAGAGGGUGGACGGCCACAUUGAGACUGAGAUACGGCCCAGACUCCUACGGGAGGCAGCAGUGGGGAAUAUUGCACAAUGGGCGGAAGCCUGAUGCAGCGACGCCGCGUGGGGGAUGACGGCCUUCGGGUUGUAAACUCCUUUCGACCGCGAGGAAGCCACCUGGUUGGAAGGGUGGUGACGGUAGUGGUAGAAGAAGCACCGGCUAACUACGUG
Molecule: ribosomal RNA, 493 nt
Filed under: uncultured bacterium
Lineage: Bacteria
Description: partial 16S ribosomal RNA
Rfam family: Bacterial small subunit ribosomal RNA
Source: RNAcentral